GGGACCGUAGUACUAAACGGCAGAAUGCUCAGACAGGUGUCGGUACUUCACCUCAUACGUGAGAGGUCCGGGUUCGAAUCCCGGCGGUCCCA
Molecule: transfer RNA, 92 nt
Filed under: Halosimplex pelagicum
Lineage: Archaea; Methanobacteriati; Methanobacteriota; Halobacteria; Halobacteriales; Haloarculaceae
Description: tRNA-Met
Source: RNAcentral